RNAcentral lists this ribosomal RNA (1351 nucleotides) under uncultured bacterium. RNAcentral's name for it is "bacterial SSU rRNA". It matches the Rfam family "Bacterial small subunit ribosomal RNA", at positions 28 to 1393 of the family's 1533-position model. The record is from RNAcentral.
GACGAACGCUGGCGGCGUGCUUAACACAUGCAAGUCGAGCGGUAAGGCCCUUUCGGGGGUACACGAGCGGCGAACGGGUGAGUAACACGUGGGUGACCUGCCCUCAGCUCUGGGAUAAGCCUGGGAAACUGGGUCUAAUACCGGAUAUGACCUGCCACUGCAUGGUGGUGGGUGGAAAGUUUUUCGGCUGGGGAUGGGCCCGCGGCCUAUCAGCUUGUUGGUGGGGUGAUGGCCUACCAAGGCGACGACGGGUAGCCGGCCUGAGAGGGUGUCCGGCCACACUGGGACUGAGAUACGGCCCAGACUCCUACGGGAGGCAGCAGUGGGGAAUAUUGCACAAUGGGCGCAAGCCUGAUGCAGCGACGCCGCGUGAGGGAUGACGGCCUUCGGGUUGUAAACCUCUUUCAGCACAGACGAAGCGCAAGUGACGGUAUGUGCAGAAGAAGCACCGGCCAACUACGUGCCAGCAGCCGCGGUAAUACGUAGGGUGCGAGCGUUGUCCGGAAUCAUUGGGCGUAAAGAGCUCGUAGGUGGUUUGUCGCGUUGUUCGUGAAAACCGGGGGCUUAACCCUCGGCGUGCGGGCGAUACGGGCAGACUGGAGUACUGCAGGGGAGACUGGAAUUCCUGGUGUAGCGGUGGAAUGCGCAGAUAUCAGGAGGAACACCGGUGGCGAAGGCGGGUCUCUGGGCAGUAACUGACGCUGAGGAGCGAAAGCGUGGGGAGCGAACAGGAUUAGAUACCCUGGUAGUCCACGCCGUAAACGGUGGGUACUAGGUGUGGGUUUCCUUCCUUGGGAUCCGUGCCGUAGCUAACGCAUUAAGUACCCCGCCUGGGGAGUACGGCCGCAAGGCUAAAACUCAAAGGAAUUGACGGGGGCCCGCACAAGCGGCGGAGCAUGUGGAUUAAUUCGAUGCAACGCGAAGAACCUUACCUGGGUUUGACAUGCACGGGACGCCGGCAGAGAUGUCGGUUCCCUUGUGGCCUGUGUGCAGGUGGUGCAUGGCUGUCGUCAGCUCGUGUCGUGAGAUGUUGGGUUAAGUCCCGCAACGAGCGCAACCCUUGUCUCAUGUUGCCAGCGCGUUAUGGCGGGGACUCGUGAGAGACUGCCGGGGUCAACUCGGAGGAAGGUGGGGAUGACGUCAAGUCAUCAUGCCCCUUAUGUCCAGGGCUUCACACAUGCUACAAUGGCCGGUACAAAGGGCUGCGAUGCCGUGAGGUGGAGCGAAUCCUUUCAAAGCUGGUCUCAGUUCGGAUCGGGGUCUGCAACUCGACCCCGUGAAGUCGGAGUCGCUAGUAAUCGCAGAUCAGCAACGCUGCGGUGAAUACGUUCCCGGGCCUUGCACACACCGC